RNAcentral lists this ribosomal RNA (253 nucleotides) under uncultured bacterium. Its description in RNAcentral is "partial 16S ribosomal RNA". It matches the Rfam family "Bacterial small subunit ribosomal RNA", at positions 524 to 776 of the family's 1533-position model. The record is from RNAcentral.
UACGUAGGUGGCAAGCGUUAUCCGGAAUUAUUGGGCGUAAAGCGCGCGCAGGCGGUUUCUUAAGUCUGAUGUGAAAGCCCACGGCUCAACCGUGGAGGGUCAUUGGAAACUGGGAAACUUGAGUGCAGAAGAGAAAAGCGGAAUUCCACGUGUGGCGGUGAAAUGCGUAGAGAUGUGGAGGAACACCAGUGGCGAAGGCGGCUUUUUGGUCUGUAACUGACGCUGAGGCGCGAAAGCGUGGGGAGCAAACAGG